AAGGAAUAUUGCUCAAUGGGAGAAAUCCUGAAGCAGCAACGCCGCGUGAAGGAUGAAGGGCUUUUGCUUGUAAACUUCUGUAGUGAGGGAAAAAACCUCCAUUCUAUGGAGUAUGAUGGUACCUCAAAAGUAAGCCCCGGCUAACUACGUGCCAGCAGCCGCGGUAAUACGUAGGGGGCAAACGUUGUCCGGAUUUACUGGGUGUAAAGGGUGCUCAGGCGGUUUUGUAAGUCAGAAGUGAAAUCCUAGAGCUUAACUCUGGAACUGCUUUUGAUACUGCAAAGCUUGAAUGUGGAAGAGGAUGAUGGAAUUUCUGGUGUAGCAGUGAAAUGCGUAGAUAUCAGAAAGAACACCAGUGGCGAAGGCGGUCAUCUGGUCCACUAUUGACGCUAAAGCACGAAAGCGUGGGGAGCAAAC
Molecule: ribosomal RNA, 417 nt
Filed under: uncultured bacterium
Lineage: Bacteria
Description: bacterial SSU rRNA
Rfam family: Bacterial small subunit ribosomal RNA
Source: RNAcentral